Molecule: ribosomal RNA, 274 nt
Filed under: uncultured bacterium
Lineage: Bacteria
Description: partial 16S ribosomal RNA
Rfam family: Bacterial small subunit ribosomal RNA
Source: RNAcentral
AUACGGAGGGUGCAAGCGUUGUUCGGAAUCACUGGGCGUAAAGGGCGCGCAGGCGGUUUGGUAAGUCAGAUGUGAAAGCCCAUGGCUCAACCAUGGAAGUGCAUUUGAAACUGUCAGACUUGAGUACUAGAUGGGAAAGUGGAAUUCCCGGUGUAGAGGUGAAAUUCGUAGAUAUCGGGAGGAAUACCGGUGGCGAAGGCGACUUUCUGGCUAGAUACUGACGCUGAGGCGCGAAAGCGUGGGGAGCAAACAGGAUUAGAAACCCGGGUAGUCC